GCCGGGCAUGGUGGCUCAUGCCUGUAAUCCCAGGACUUUGGGAGGCUGAGGUGGGAGGAUCGCUUGAGCUCAGGGUUUCGAGACCAGCCUGGGCAACACGGUGAGACCCUAUCUCUA
RNAcentral lists this non-coding RNA (117 nucleotides) under Gorilla gorilla gorilla (western lowland gorilla). Lineage: Eukaryota; Metazoa; Chordata; Mammalia; Primates; Hominidae. The record is from Rfam by way of RNAcentral.